RNAcentral lists this long non-coding RNA (3045 nucleotides) under Olea europaea subsp. europaea. Lineage: Eukaryota; Viridiplantae; Streptophyta; Magnoliopsida; Lamiales; Oleaceae. The record is from RNAcentral.
UUUUCCCAUUCUAAUCAACUUUCUCAUCAAUUUCCAUCAAGUUGAUCUCAGAUCUAUACCAUUUUCCAAAAACACAGUAAAAUAUAUAUGUUUCUGCAGUUCAAUUUCUUGGCUUAUUAUUAUGAAGUUGAUACGGUUUGAUGCGCUUCUUCUUCUUCUUCAGCUUCUCUUUAGCAAGGCAGCAUCAGAGUUCAAUAUAGAGACUCUUCCGGGUUAUUCGGGUACUCUGCCUGUCAAACUCGAAACAGGGUGGGUUUCUUUCAUUCUUUAACAACUUCCUUUUGACUUUUAAUUCCAGAAACUGAAUAAUUUUUUUUUAUAAAUUUGGAUGAUUAGAUAUAUUGAUGUGGGAGAAACUGAAGAAGUGCAACUAUUCUACUACUUCGUCGAGUCCGAAAGCAAUCCUAAAACGGACCCUAUUCUGCUUUGGCUCACGGGUGGACCUGGUUGCUCUGCUCUCUCCGGCCUCUUUUAUGAAAUCGGUACUCUCUCUAUAUGUGUGUGUAUUAUUAUUUUCUUUCAGCAAAUGGGACUUAUACAUACUCAGGGAAUUGCACCCUUCCUAUGCAUAAACGAGAGAGAUGUGUGUGUGCAGUAUGCAAAUGAUGAGUAGCAACCAGCAAAAUAUGGAAAGUGAUUCGCACCAUUCAAAUUGAACACACGAAAGAUCUGCAAGUGCUCGGUAUCGUAGAUAAGUAAUAUAAUGAUAAGUAGAGUAUCAUCUCACGAAAAUUAUGUAUUUAAUCUAGUAUCAAUUAAUGCUUAAUCUAAUCGAAUUGUUGAGUUUGUAUGGUGAAUUUAUACUAAUUAAUUAAUUAAAUUACUUCAAUGAGCAACUUAUGAAAGCUUUUUGUAAAAAUUAGGUUAAGCACUUGCUACGACUUUAAAUUUUCCUUAUUAAUCCAAUUUAAUGCAAUUCAAUAUCAUGACAAUGUUUAAUCAUUCUUUUUUUUUUUUUUUUAUAUAUCAAUGUUCCUAGAUUAUUUAAUAAUUUCUCUCCCGUAGAAAAUCUAUUCUUUCUUGUGACCCUUAUAAAUCUUUCUAUGAAAGGCAAACAUAAAAGCAAGUGCUCAAACUUUAGAACAUCUAUUGAACUCUGCGACGCACUCGAUCAUACUUCACAAAAUCUACUAUAACGUGCUAUAUAUAUUAUUAUUUCUCUUGAAUAUAACAAAAUUCACACAUCAAUCCAAUUAUUAAUCAGGUAAUUCAAAGGCAUUAAACCCUAUAACAAUCUCCUAAGAAUAACAAAUAUUAGGUGUCAAAAUAUUGAAAUUUUAUUAAAAUUUCAUAACAAAGGUUCAUUUAUAUCUUAGCAACUAAUAAUCUAGCAUAGCAUUACUAAGUUGCAUUAAAUCAUAAUUAAUUUGGAGAACACCAUUCGGAUUCUCGAUAGAUGAAGAAAAGGAGGAAUCACGAAAUCUUUAAUAUCUUCACUGGUUUUUUAAUUAAUGUCCAACUUUAUAUUCUUUUUCAUUGCCAAAAAUCAAUGUUAAAUCUUCAAAUGAUUGAAUUCUCGUAUAUUGCCUCUUGAAUUCUCCCAAAAGAACAAUUAAUUGGCCUCUCUUUGUUGCAAGAUUAUGCGUAUGAUAUGAUAUGAGAGAAGUCCUUCCAAUGUUUGAUGGUGUUGUGUAUUUAUAACGGUCGAAUUUAUGUCAAAAUCCAAGUUUUGAAAUUGACUUCCAAAAUGUGGUUUGACUCAAAAUAGGAAACAGCUCCCAUCUGUCAGAAUUUGGGUCGUGCAGUUCGUGCCCUAUAGUCUUUAGGAAUGUUCAGUUUGGCCCUCAUCUUUGGUCCUUUGUUUAUUAUGAGUCUGUUCUUCUUGUAAUUUCAAUCCUUCAUCUUCUAUAUUCACUCAAUUGAAUCCAUGCAAUCUUCAAUCACUUUUCUUGAUCGAAAUCAACUUUUUAAUAUUUGUAAUUGAGUCCAUGAACUUUGAAAUUCUUCCUUUUUCACCCUUCUUUUUCCAAUUUCUACUUCUUUUGCUCAAAACCAAUCCAAACUUGAGUAUGUUUUGCAACAAUCGAUAUUUAAACAAAUUAAAUAGCAAUUAACUCAAAAAGAUGAUAAAUAUGAUAGCUAGAUAGGUGUAUAAAAAGUGGGUUAUGUUAUAUGUAGAUUAUGGUGUCCAUAAGGGUAUCCAUAAUGUACAAACGGUUUAAUAUCAAUUGAGGGUUGAAAAAUAAUUUUUUUGACCCUCCAAUCAUGGAAUUCCACAUGCAUAUUAUAGAUACUAUAAUGUACAUGUAGAAUUACACUAUCACAAAUGACAUAGACAACAAAUUCAAAAUAUUAAAAAGGGUGGAUUUUUAUUUAUUUAUUUUUACUUGGUUGUGUUGGAAUGAUUGCCCCAAAUUUCUAACUCAAAAUUUUUUACAAUAAUUUACAAAUGAAGAGCAAACUAGUUCCUAUAUCCUGUGUGAGUUCGCUAAUUUAGUGAUUUUUAAUGGUGAUUUAAGUUUCAACUAGUUUUGUUUAGAAUGAAUUUCCAUUCUAAGAGUAUAUUUCCAAGUAGCUGGCCAUAGAAUUCGACAUGGUAAACUUUACGGCUUAAAAAUCCACUAAAAAAAUCAUUGCCCUUUCCAAAUUUUCACUGCAUCUCUCCAGAAAAAAAAAAUCCAAUUCUAAAAAUUGUUAAAUAUAAUCAGCAAGAAUGAAAGAAUAUUAUAUUUUGAUUACCCCAUUAACCUAUAUUUGAAAUAUAACUUUCAUGAUGUUCAUGUCAAUUUUGUGUGCUUUUGUGUAGGUCCAUUAGCCUUCGAUGUUGCAGAUUUUGAUGGAAGCUUACCAUCUAUUCACCAAAAUCCAUAUUCAUGGACCAAGGUCAUAAACAUAUCUCACUCCAUGAAUAAAGACAUGUACGUAUCUCAUCUAUAGCUCUCUAAGUUUAGCACUGCAGUAAUUUAGCCUUAUGAUUUGCAGGUUGCCAACAUUAUAUUUAUUGAUUGGCCUGUUGGCACUGGAUUUUCCUAUGCAAACACAUCGAAAGGUUACUCUUCUUCAGACACCAAAUCAGCAAAAGACAACUAUACGUUUCUUAGAAAG